This 983-nucleotide ribosomal RNA is filed under the name human gut metagenome. RNAcentral's name for it is "bacterial LSU rRNA". It matches the Rfam family "Bacterial large subunit ribosomal RNA", at positions 1939 to 2925 of the family's 2925-position model. The record is from RNAcentral.
ACUAUAACGGUCCUAAGGUAGCGAAAUUCCUUGUCGGGUAAGUUCCGACCCGCAUGAAAGGCGUAAUGAUUUGGGCGCUGUCUCAACGAGGGGCCCGGUGAAAUUGAAAUACCUGUGAAGAUGCAGGUUACCCGCGACUGGACAGAAAGACCCCAUGGAGCUUUACUGCAGCUUGAGAUUGAAUCCCGGUGGCAGACGCACAGGAUAGGUGGGAGGCUUUGAGAUAGUGACUUUGGUUGCUAUGGAGCCGACGUUGGGAUACCACCCUUCUGUUGCUGGGAUUCUAACGCGAAGAUUAACAACCUUGCGGACCAUCUCAGGUAGGCGGUUUGACUGGGGCGGUCGCCUCCGAAAGAGUAACGGAGGCGCCCAAAGGUUCCCUCAGGCCGGACAGAAACCGGCCGAAGAGUGCAAAGGCAGAAGGGAGCUUGACUGCGAGACAGACAAGUCGAGCAGAGACGAAAGUCGGGCUUAGUGAUCCGGUGGUACUGCGUGGAAAGGCCAUCGCUCAACGGAUAAAAGCUACCCUGGGGAUAACAGGCUAAUCUCUCCCAAGAGUUCAUAUCGACGGGGAGGUUUGGCACCUCGAUGUCGGCUCAUCACAUCCUGGAGCUGGAGUAGGUUCCAAGGGUUGGGCUGUUCGCCCAUUAAAGUGGUACGCGAGCUGGGUUCAAAACGUCGUGAGACAGUUUGGUUCAUAUCCAUCGCGGGCGCAAGAAGUUUGAGGGAGGCUGCUCCUAGUACGAGAGGACCGGAGUGGACGGAUCAACGGUGUACCAGUUGUCACGCCAGUGGCACGGCUGGAAAGCCGCAUCCGGAAAGGAUAAACGCUGAAAGCAUCUAAGCGUGAAGCCCGUCCCAAGAUGAGACUUCUCAUCAGCAAUGAGUAAGACCCCUUAAAGACGAUGAGGUUGAUAGGCUGUGAGUGGAAGAGCCGCGAGGCUUGGAGCGACGCAGUACUAAUAGGUCGAGGUCUUAACUUA